CAGUAGCCGCGGUAAUACGAGGGGGGCAAGCGUUGUUCGGAAUUAUUGGGCGUAAAGGGUGCGUAGGCGGUUUGAUAAGUCAUCUGUGAAAUCUCUGGGCUCAACCCAGAGUCUGCAGGCGAAACUGUCGGGCUUGAGUAUGGGAGAGGUGAGUGGAAUUUCCGGUGUAGCGGUGAAAUGCGUAGAUAUCGGAAGGAACACCUGUGGCGAAAGCGGCUCACUGGACCAUAACUGACGCUGAUGCACGAAAGCUAGGGGAGCAAACAGGAUUAGAUACCCGGGUAGUCCCUGUCUCUUAUAC
RNAcentral lists this ribosomal RNA (301 nucleotides) under uncultured bacterium. Its description in RNAcentral is "partial 16S ribosomal RNA". It matches the Rfam family "Bacterial small subunit ribosomal RNA", at positions 509 to 807 of the family's 1533-position model. The record is from RNAcentral.